Molecule: ribosomal RNA, 606 nt
Filed under: uncultured bacterium
Lineage: Bacteria
Description: bacterial SSU rRNA
Rfam family: Bacterial small subunit ribosomal RNA
Source: RNAcentral
AAACUCAAAGGAAUUGACGGGGGCCCGCACAAGCGGUGGAGUAUGUGGUUUAAUUCGAUGCAACGCGAAGAACCUUACCUGGUCUUGACAUCCCGAAGAUCUCCUGGAAACAGGAGAGUGCUUUCAUUAGAGAGAAUUCGGUGACAGGUGCUGCAUGGCUGUCGUCAGCUCGUGUCGUGAGAUGUUGGGUUAAGUCCCGCAACGAGCGCAACCCUCGCCAUUAGUUGCCAUCAUUUAGUUGGGCACUCUAAUGGGACUGCCGGUGUCAAACCGGAGGAAGGUGGGGAUGACGUCAAGUCCUCAUGGCCUUUAUGACCAGGGCUACACACGUACUACAAUGGCCGAUACAAAGGGCAGCCACAGUGCGAACUGGAGCAAAUCCCUUAAAGUCGGUCUCAGUCCGGAUUGGAGUCUGCAACUCGACUCCAUGAAGUUGGAAUCGCUAGUAAUCGUGGAUCAGCAUGCCACGGUGAAUACGUUCCCGGGCCUUGUACACACCGCCCGUCACACCACGGAAGUUGGUUGUACCAGAAGCAGUUGGGCGAACCUUCGGGACGCAGGCUGCCAAGGUAUGGCUGGUAACUGGGGUGAAGUCGUAACAAGGUA